RNAcentral lists this ribosomal RNA (1326 nucleotides) under uncultured organism. RNAcentral describes it as "16S ribosomal RNA". It matches the Rfam family "Bacterial small subunit ribosomal RNA", at positions 40 to 1407 of the family's 1533-position model. The record is from RNAcentral.
CGGCGUGCUUAACACAUGCAAGUCGAACGAAGGCCUCGGGCUUAGUGGCGGACGGGGUGCAGUACGCGUGACAAUCUACCUUCUAGAUGGGGACAACCGUUGGAAACGACAGCUAAUCCCCAAUAAGCCGAGAGGUGAAACGGGUAUCCGCUAGAAGACGAGCUCGCGUCCGAUUAGUUAGUUGGUGGGGUAAAAGCCUACCAAGGCAGCGAUCGGUAGCUGGUCUGAAAGGAUGAGCAGCCACACUGAGACUGAGACACCGUCCAAACUCCUACGGGAGGCAGCAGUGCGGAAUUUUCCGCAAUGGGCGAAAGCCUGACGGAGCAACGCCGCGUGUGGGAAGAAGGCUCUUGGGCUGUCAACCACUUCUCUCAGGGAAGAAGUCCUGACAGUACCUGAGGAAUCAGCCUCGGCUAACUCCGUGCCAGCAGCCGCAGUAAUACAGAGGAGGCAAGCGUUAUCCGGAAUUAUUGGCCGUAAAGCGUCCGCAGGGGGCGCAUCAAGUCUGCUGUUAAACAUCGGAGCUAAACUCCGGUAGAGCAGUGGAAACUGGUGCGCUAGAGGACGACAGGGGUAGAGGGAAUUCCCAGCGUAACGGUGAAAUGCGUAGAGAUAGGGAAGAACACCGGUGGCGAAAGCGCUCUACUGGGUCGCACCUGACCCUCAGGGACGCAAGCUAAGGUAGCGAAAGGGAUUAGAUACCCCUGUAAUCUUAACCGUAAACGAUGGAUACUAGGCGUGGCACGUAUCGACCCAAGCCGCGCCGAAGCUAACGCGUUAAGUAUCCCGCCUGGGGAGUACGCACGCAAGUGUGAAACUCAAAGGAAUCGACGGGGGCCCGCACAAGCGGUGGAGGAUGUGGAGCAAUUCGAUGCAACGCGAAGAACCUGACCAGGGCUAGACAGCCCGCGAAGUGAGGGGAAACUCAGACGUGCGUACGGGCACGCGGAGACAGGUGGUGCAUGGCUGUCGUCAGUUCGUGUCGUGAGAUGUUGGGUUAAGUCCCGCUACGAGCGCAACCCUCGUCCUUAGUUGCCAGCAUUAAGUUGGGCACUCUAGGGAGACUGCCGGUGACAAACCGGAGGAAGGUGAGGAAGACGUCAAGUCAGCAUGCCCCUUAUGCUCUGGGCAACACACGUCAUACAAUGGUCGGGACAAAGGGGAGCGAGCUCGCGAGAGUAAGCGAAUCCCAGCAAACUCGGCAUCAGUUCAGAUAGCAGGCUGCAACUCGCCUAGCUUGAAGGAGGAAUCGCUAGUAAUCGCAGGUCAGCAUACUACGGUGAAUUCGUUCCCGGGCCUUGUACACACCGCCCAGUCACACCAUGG